CCACUCGUAGGCCUGGGACGCGGGCUGCCGGCCGAGUGGCCUGAGGGCCUGGCUGCCCGGGGGGCGGGCCGGGGCCGCGGCCGGGGGCGCGGAGCGGAGCUCGGGGCGCCAGGCCGAGCCGAGGUGGGACGGACCGACGCGGAGAGGAAGGGAAGCCGCAUCCCGCGGGGCGCCCCUCCUGAAGCGAGCCGGGCAGCGGCCGCGGGCGCCCCUGCCCUGAGCCCACCCCGCGCUCUGCCCUCCCUAACAAUGGGAAUGGGGCAGAAGGAGGCGCCCCACUGCGGGGAGGUGAGGGGUGGGUUUGGGACUGGGGUCCGCGGUGGGGGGAGGUGCGAUCUCGGGCUCUCGCCUCUCCGCUCCCUCUGGCUCUGGAGUUGGGGGCCCCUGUGGGGCUCUGAAGUCCGCCUGAGACUUGGGUCAAGAGUCAAACUGUCGCCCCCCGCUCCUCCCCCAAAAUCCGGUGAGCGGUAAGGAAAGUGAUGCCAAGUCUUCGAAGCCUCAGUGACAAACGCAUAGCAAGAACACAUCCACUCCAGAGAUACCUUCUCGAAACAAAAGAUUUUCCUACCUGCUUAUACUUGGUAACCGAGGGAAUUUCUAAGACUUCUUGCUCAUUUCUGAGUAUUGUCUUUAUAUCCUGACACUAUGAAUGCUACUUGGAUGCCUCUUAAGGGUCUCUUCUGCAGGGUCCCCAUGAAUUGUGGCUGAAGUUGUGCACAAACAAGUAUCUCCAGUGACAGGAGUGCCUUCUGAGGCAGCCAUUGCAUCUUCAUCUGCUGACACUCUGCUAGGCUGACUUCUGUAGUUUUCACCACUGAUCUUCAGUCCACCUCACAGAGCUCUAUAAAACGCUUAAAUCCUCUUUACAUCAUAGACUUUCAGCUACUUGAAGAUAGCCAUCAGCCGCUACGUGACUCUUUUCUCCAGGAUCUCCCUAAUACUAUGAACGCGGCAGAGAUAACGGACAAGCUCGGCCUCCAUUCCCUCCGCUACAGAAACUGGCACAUUCAGGCUACUUGUGCCACUACUGGACAUGGGCUUUACGAAGGCCUGAACUGGCUCGCCAACCAGUUCCAGAACCAGAACUGAUCAGAAGGAUCUAUUCUUUGUGCCUUGUGGCCACAUCAGCUAGCCUCUGCUGUGUGCACGUGUACGUGUGUGCUGGGAGUGGAGGCAGCUUUCUCACAGUGCCUUAUCCAUGCCAUAAGAAAAGCAGUGUUACAUUUUAAGAAACCCAGUGUUAAGUUUUAAACACCACCUUCCAUUUCAGUAGCUUUGAUGAUCAUUUUUGCAAUUGAUGGAGAAGUCCAGAGGGCUUGCUGGUGCUCGAAGGCCAGAGCGGGCUUCAUGGAGGCGAGUUGGAGCGGGGACUGAGUUCAGCUGUUGCAAUCCUGGUCUGGCGUCUGGAGUCCUGUUAGUCUUUGGCAUCCUUUCGUAAAAAGGAAGGAAUUGUCAUUCUUUUUUUUUUAAAACCAUAUUUUUACUGUACCUUUUCAUGUUUAUUUAUUUUUUAUUAAAAAAAUUUUUUUUGAAACAGCCUCCCACUCUGUCGCCCAAGCUGGAGUGCAGUGGUGCGAUCUCAGCUCACUGCAACCUCCGUCUCUCGGGCUCAAGCAAUCCUCCCACCUCAGCCCCCUGAGUAGCUGAGACUAUGGGUGUGCACCACCACACCUGGCUAAUUUUUGUAUUUUUUGUGGAGACAGGGUCUUGCCAUGUUGCCCAGGCUGGUCUGUAACUCCUGAGCUCAAGGGAUCCACCCACCUCAGCCUUCCAAAAUGCUGGGAUUACAGGCAUGAGCCACUGCGCUACCGAGAAAUCGUCAUUCUUUACCACCACUGCUGCAGCUAGCAGCUCACUCUUCAGUGCUUUAAGCAAAUGAUCCUCAGGAAAGAAAAGGUAUUUGCUUAUUGCAGGUGCAAAGAGGCUCAGAUUGGAACUUUUCCCUGAAACUAUAUUGUAGCCCAGAGUUCCUGAUGUAAGACGCUUUAUUUAAAGACAUCCGUGAGCUUUUUCACUGGCAUAUCAAUACUUCAUAACACUAGGAAGGUAUCCAGCCUUUUCCUUAUGCUAGUUCCUUCCCUUAUUUGCCAGAUGGGGACCCUGUGGGGAGGUGACCCAGUGUGAGGCCGAAGCUCUUUCCCAGAGCCCCACAGGCCAGUGGAGGGUCGUGUUUGUGCUCUGGGCAUCACCGUCUUGGGUCUCGGUCCCCUGCGACUGCAGCUGCUACAUCCCUCCCUGCUCUGAGAUAAAUGUUCUUCCCAUGAAGCAGACGGUUCACUUUUGGGAUGGCGCUGUCUCCAGGUUUGGCUGUCUCAGUCCAGAUGAUGUUUGGUUAGUUUCCAUUCCCAGAACCACAAGCCUUUGAGUUCUGAAAGUUUGUGACAGAAUCAAGAGGCUAAUUUGGGAGAUGUGAGAUUCCCAGCCCACCUGGUAUUGCCCUCGAGUUAGUGGUAAAUUUUGCUAUGGAAAAUAUCUCUUGUCAAGACCAAGCUCCGGCGCAUUGCCUCCCUCUUUUGGAUGGCCAUGGCAUCUCAUGAACCACUUGGAAAUGUGUUUUAUGUUGUUCUCCAAAUAUUAAUAAAAAUAUCCCGGAGAGGAGGUUCACUAAAAAAAAAAAAAAA
This 2621-nucleotide long non-coding RNA is filed under the name Homo sapiens (human). Its description in RNAcentral is "long independently transcribed non-coding RNA 2210, transcript variant 2 (LINC02210)". The record is from RNAcentral. Lineage: Eukaryota; Metazoa; Chordata; Mammalia; Primates; Hominidae.